This 305-nucleotide ribosomal RNA is filed under the name uncultured bacterium. RNAcentral's name for it is "bacterial SSU rRNA". It matches the Rfam family "Bacterial small subunit ribosomal RNA", at positions 338 to 659 of the family's 1533-position model. The record is from RNAcentral.
CCUACGGGAGGCAGCAGUGGGGAAUAUUGCACAAUGGGGGAAACCCUGAUGCAGCAACGCCGCGUGAAGGAAGACGGUUUUCGGAUUGUAAACUUCUGUUCUUAGUGAAGAAGAAUGACGGUAUCUAACGAAUAAGCACCGGCUAACUCCGUGCCAGCAGCCGCGGUAAUACGGAGGGUGCAAGCGUUACUCGGAGUCACUGGGCGUAAAGAGCGCGUAGGCGGGAUAGCAAGUCAGAUGUGAAAUCCUAUGGCUUAACCAUAGAACUGCAUUUGAAACUGUUAUUCUAGAGUAUGGGAGAGGUA